GUACACACCGCCCGUCGCUACUACCGAUUGAAUGAUUUAGUGAGGUCUUCGGACCGGUGCGCGGUCUCCGCCUUGUGCGGUCUCCGAUGUCCCUGGAAAGAUGACCAAACUUGAUUAUUUAGAGGAAGUAAAAGUCGUAACAAGGUUUCCGUAGGUGAACCUGCGGAAGGAUC
RNAcentral lists this ribosomal RNA (173 nucleotides) under Diestrammena sp. CHI2. Its description in RNAcentral is "partial 18S ribosomal RNA". It matches the Rfam family "Eukaryotic small subunit ribosomal RNA", at positions 1662 to 1827 of the family's 1831-position model. The record is from RNAcentral. Lineage: Eukaryota; Metazoa; Arthropoda; Insecta; Orthoptera; Rhaphidophoridae.